This 77-nucleotide transfer RNA is filed under the name Pyrobaculum neutrophilum V24Sta. RNAcentral's name for it is "tRNA-Pro (CGG) (tRNA-Pro-CGG-1-1)". It matches the Rfam family "tRNA". From Rfam's summary of the family: Transfer RNA (tRNA) molecules are approximately 80 nucleotides in length. The record is from RNAcentral. Lineage: Archaea; Thermoproteati; Thermoproteota; Thermoprotei; Thermoproteales; Thermoproteaceae.
GGGGCCGUCGUUCAGCCUGGUAGGAUGCGCGGUUCGGGUCCGCGUGAGCCCGGGUUCAAAUCCCGGCGGCCCCACCA